RNAcentral lists this long non-coding RNA (8670 nucleotides) under Homo sapiens (human). Its description in RNAcentral is "HSALNT0403163". The record is from RNAcentral. Lineage: Eukaryota; Metazoa; Chordata; Mammalia; Primates; Hominidae.
UCUCAGUUUACUGUUUACAGUUGUGAGAACUGAGUGAGAGUCCUUAUUCUCCCAGUGUAAUAAUUAUUACACAUUAUGCUUCCUGCCAAAACUAGCUGACUGCCUUAGUCCUUUGAGUUGUGAAUAUCAGUAUCAAUUCAAAAACAACUAUUUAAUAACAACUUUCUUAAAGAAAGGAAGAAAAUAUAAUUUUAUGAAAUGACCACUUUUAUUAUUCUUGAGUGUCUCAGAAAAUUUAGUGUAAAGUGUCCUUUGCUAUCCAGGAUAUAACAGCUGGUUCCAGAUAACAUGGUAUGUCUCAUUAGAGAGAUACUAGAUCUAAUUAUGCAACAUAUAAGCAAGAUCAUUAUAGAAACAUUAUCUCGAUGAGGUAAGUAAAGUACAUGUGAAAUCUAACUCUGCUGUUUGAAAGAAUUUUUGAAAGCAAAUGUAAGGAAUUAAUAAUUACUUAAGUGUAUGAAGAAAGCUGUUGCAAACUACUUAUGAAUCUUUGACAUGUAAUGAAAAAAUAUAAUAGAAUGAUAAGUACCCUGAUUAUUUGUGCUAGAGAUAAAAAUGAACUUCUGGGCAAAUAUCUUUUGCUACCGACAAAUUUUUUUUCUAAACAGUAAAAAUGAGUGCCUUUUCAUAGCAUUUCUACUGUGUCAGAAAUUCUCAAACUUUAGAGUGUAACUGAAACACAGAGAGGGCUUAUUAAAACAAAGAUUGCCGGUCUCCAAUCUCAGAUUCUGUUCAAUAAGGCUAGGUAGAGCCAGAAAAUUUGCAUUUCUAAAAUUCCCAACUGGUGUUCAUGUUGCUGGCCCAGGUCCACUAUUUGAGAACCACUGCACUAUGUGAAAAUCACUAAAGAAGACGCUUAACUUACAUUAUCUUCUUGAUUAUUUUUCUUUAAGAUGCAAGUCCAUGGAUUCUAUUCUGUUAGGUAUUUUGCUUUCUUUCCUUUUUAUUUUUUAGAGACAAGGACUCACUGUGUUGCCCAGGCUGGUAUUGAACUCCUGGGCUCAAGUGGUCUUCUCACUUCAGCCUCCCAAAGUGCUAGGAUUACAGGUAUGAGCCACCAUGCCCAGCUUGCUUGAUAUUUUUCAAUUAAGCUAUCUAUCUAUCUUUGAAAAUCUAGAUUCCUUUACAAAUAAAUCUAUCUUCAAAAUAUAGUUAAGACUAUAUGCCGGUCGGGCGCGGGGGCUCAUACCUGUAAUCGCAGCACUAUGGGAAUUUGAGGCUGGCAGAUCACGAAGUCAGAAGUUUGAGACCAGCCUGACCAACAUGGUGAAACCCCGUUUCUACUAAAAAUACAAAAAUUAUCCAGGUGUGGUGGUGGGCACCUGUAAUCCCAGCUACUCAGGAGGCUGAGGCAGGAGAAUCGCUUGAACCCGGGAGGCAGAAGUUGCAGUGAGCUGAGAUCGUGCCACUGCACUCCAGCCUGGGUGACAGGGCGAGACCCCAUCUCGAAAAAACAAACAAACAAAAAGAGGCUAUAUGCCAAGCAUUAGGCAUAUUUAUAAUAGCAUAUUGAUAAACAACAGCACAAAUAAUAAAAUGAAUAGAUAUUACCAGCUUAAUAUUUGACUUAGCAAGGAAGAGGCCAGGAAUAAUUAGAAGUUUCAGCUCUACAAAGCCAAUUUUGCUUACUCUUGUCUGUAGACAUUGUCUUUUUCCUAAGAAGACUGAGUUUGUUAACUAAGUUUAUUAAUUCUGUUCAUAUCAAUUUUAAAUUUAUCAAAAAGUAGCUACUGGGUCAAAGUCUUGAUAUUGAAAAACUGGAUUAUGAUCUGUUUUCCAAGUUGAUUUUAACUAAGCGAUUUGACUAACUCUUGUCUCCAUCUUCACAGCAAAACAGAGCGUGACACUCCCAAUCAUCUGCAUGCUGGAAAUGAGGAAAUGGUUAUUGAAUGAUACAAGUGCUUUUCGAUCAUUUAGAAAGUUCUGUUUCCCAAGAUCUUUUUUUUUUUUUUUUUUUUUGAGACGGUGUCUUGCUCUGUCACCCAGGCUGGAGUGCAGUGGCGCGAUCUCGGCUCACCACAACCUCCACCUCCUGGGUUCAAGCGAUUCUCCUGCCUCAGCCUCCCGCGUGGCUGAGACUACAGGCAUGUGCCACCAUGCCCGGCUAAUUUUUGUAUUUUUAGUAGAGACAGGGUUUCACUAUGUUGGCCAGGCUGGUCUCAAACUCCUGACCUCGUGAUCCGCCCGCCUUGGACUCCCAAAGUGCUGGGAUUACAGUUGUGAGCCACUGUGCCCGGCCUAGCAAGAUCACUUUUUAAGUAUCCAGAAAGCUCUUUCUUAUGUUGAAUUAUGUCCAGAGGCAUAACUAGACUGAAGGUUUAGACUCCAUUCAUUCUCCUAUGUUUUUGUUCUUAACUGCAUUCUGCAGUCAAAUCAGGAGCUUUAGAAAAUACUGAUGCCUGGCUCUCAACCAGAGAGAACUGAACUGAAUUGGUCUGGUGAAUUCAUUAAAAGAGCUAACAACAAUGAAGUUAAUGUACGCAUCUCACCUCUCAAGAGUAUUAACAGGCCAGGCGUGUUGGCUCAUACCUGUAAUCCCAGCACUUUGGGAGGCCAAGGCGGGCGGAUCACCCAAGGUUGUGGAAAAUGCACUAGAAUCAACAAACAUGGGGACUAAUUCAACUCGGAUAUCAUGUCUUCAGAGAAGUUUCUCCUGCCCUCCUCUCCCUGUAGAAUUAAGUAUUCUUCCACUGUGCCACCCUCUAACUUGUGCUCAUAUCUUCCUCUAUUGUAGUUAUGUGUUCACAUCCCUGUUGUUUUUGUACCGGCUUCUCCCAAAGGGAGACAUUUAGUCUUAUUCUUCUUGGUAACUUUAGCACAGACCUGGCAGAUUGUUGACACUCAACAAAUGUUUAUUGACUCAAAUGCAUUCAGUUGAACAUUGACCUUUGAUCAACUCUGGGAAAAGUCUGCAAAGCUAGUUAGGACAUUCAGAAAUUCAUUUCAUUUCAAUCCUAACUAAAUAAAUUAUUGAAGUCUCAGAACUUCUCAGUACUUGAUUUAGACACAUAGAAACUUGGGUAAAUAACACCUAUAUUGUUAUAUUCCUCAAGAAAAAGUUUAUCUUUUCAUGAAAUGAAUCUACUGAGGAUAUUUAUAGAAACUGAAUGUAAGUGAGCAGAAUAAAGUGGUGUGUGUGUGUGUGUGUGUGUGUGUGUAUGUAAUUUGAAGAGUAGGUGGGAGAAGGUUGUGAUAGGAUAGCAGAUCUUGUUUAUGAUAGUCACCAGCUAUAACAGACACUGCCUGAUGCCUUUCCAAUAUCCACUUCCCUUUUCUUUUUUUUCUUUUUGGAACAGAGUCUCACUCUGUCCCCCAGGCUGGAGUGCAACAGCACGAUCUCGGCUUACUGCAUCCUCUGCCUCCUGGGUUCAAGCAAUUCUCAUGCCUCAGCCUCCCUAGUAGCUGGGAUUACAGGCUCUCGCCACCACGCCCAGCUAAUUUUUGUGUUUUUAGUAGAGACGGGGUUUCGCCAUGUUGGCCAGGCUAGUCUUGAACUCCUGACCUCAGGUGAUCCACCUGCCUCAGCCUCUCUAAGUGCUGGGAUUACAGGCGUGAGCCACCGUGCCUGGCUCUCUUUUCUUACUUAAUGUCUGUGUCAAUUAAAUAGAAAUGUAUCAAGUUAAAAACCUUGCCUCGGUAGCUUCCAGUGCAAAUAAAGGUACCCAUGCCACCCCAUUCUGGCCAGCAGUAAAAUUGAUGGAAGCCUCUGGUUGGGGCUUCAAGGAAAGCUUUAUCAAAAGAUAAACUCACUGGCUUUGUCCCUUAGUUCAGUGGUCCCCAACCUUUUUGGCACCAAGAGACCAGUUUUGUGGAAGACAAUUUUUUCCAUGGACCAGGAGGGUUCCGGGGGAUGGUUUUGGGAUGAAAAUGUUUCACCUUAGAUAUCAUCGGGCAUUCAAUUCUCAUAAGGAGCCUGCAACCUAGACCUCUCACAUGUGCAGUUCACAAUAGGGUUCAUGCUCCUAUGAGAAUCUAAUGCCACUGCUGAUCUGACAGGAGGCAGAGCUCAGGCAGUAAUGCUCACUAGUUCCGUUGCUCGCCUCCUGCUGUGCAGCCCAGUUCCUAACAGGACACAGACCAGUACUGGUUCGCAACCCAGGGUUUGGGGGCCCCUGUCUUAGUUCCUUUGCCUUCCUUCCAGAUGGAUGCCUGGAGGAACAAUCAUCCCGCAAUUGUGAAAAUUGAAGCCAUAUUUUAAAGUUGGUUUCAAUUGUAAUACAGAAGAAAUCUGGACCUUGAUGACAUUUGAGCUAGAGUACUAAUCUUGAUCUUCCUAUUCAUGAGCUUGUUGCAAGAGACAAGACUUUUACUGAUUUAACUCAUUGUUGGGAUUUCUUGGAACUAAACACAGUCAUAAUACAUUUUUUCCUUCCCAGGAAAAUGGUAGAGCAUGACUUUUCAAAUCUAAUAAAACUCAUGUGUAGCUAAAACCACUCUACUGAAACAAUUCCAUCUCAGCCCAUGGUACAAGGGAUUUUCCUGAAUGAAAAAUGGUGUCUGAUCAUUUUGUUGGUUUCUUUGUUGGUUUUUCCUGAAACUUAGGGUUAAAGAAUCCAGGAAAGUUGUCUUAGAUAGAGUUAUAAUUUCCGUGGACAUCAACUGAUAAAUGCAAUUACAGUUUGUAUGCCUAGGUUUGGCAAAAAUCAUAUAAGCAACAUCCCUCACAUAAUAUUGUUUUAAUUAAAUUUUAUUUCUUUCUUGGUAUGAAACAUACUGCAGAAGCACAAUCAAUGAACAUUGGAUAGUUUCCUUAAAUCUUGCUCUUUGUCCUAUUUAUAUAAUUUAUUGUGUCAGUGGUUCUCAAGUGGUAUGCUCCUGCAACUCAUCAUCUGAAAAUCCUUCCCAGAUGUGCUGAAAAAUUUUCAUUAAUUUGUAUAUUCUAUUUUAUUUUUAUAACUAAGUACACAUGCUUGUGACUGGAAGAGAAGACACCCCUCAUUUAAUCCCAGAGGAAUAUUUGGCCUUGAUUCAUGCCCUGCUCACUCCACCCCAUUAUUAAGAUAGAGAUCGCUGAAGAAAUCCCUGCUCUAUAAAUGUAGCUGAUCCAAAAACAAAAUGGAAAUUCAUUAUUUUAAAUAUUUCUACAAGAUCUUUGUACAACUCUAUUUUUUUUUCCUAUUAAGAAUUACAUGAUUCUAGAAUAAGUUCCAACCCUAAGUAUCAACACUGGAACACAAUUUUAAAACAGGAGGCGAUUAUCUCUAUAGUGAGAUUUAACUACAGAGGUGAUAGCUCUGGUUAGUGAAUUUCAGGACUAGAAAUCAGGCCUGCUGUCUCUUAGCUUAGAGGAGGUAUAAUAAGAAGAGGAUUAGAACUACUGUGUAUAUUAACAAGAAGAACUCUAUUAUGUUCAGCUAUCAUUAUAUAUGAUAUUAUGUUUCUUUUUAUGAACUAUAGUUCACUGUCUUUAAGCAUAAUGUUUGCCCAAGGUGGGGGUGUUGGUGUGUGUCUGUGUGUAUAUGCAUGUGUGCACAUGUGUGUAUGUAUAGUUGAUUCAUUCAUUCUGACCUACUGAAUUUACUGAAGGAAUAAGAAGAAAUACCUUGAACUGAGGGACCUGGCUUAGCUCAACAUCUGUACCAUCUACCUUUGAGUAUCCAUUCCUUUACUAUGAAGCAUGGAUGCUAAAACUAAAAUUGCAUUUGCUAAACUACUUUGUAGCUAGAUUCCUGGGUGAGAUUAGAUUUGGUCAAUUAGAUGUUCUUGUGUAACAUUUAGAAGGUGAUAGUAAGGCAAAGGUCAUGUGACUGGCUGAUUUUAUUUAUGUUCAAUGAUCUUUAUUGGGGUACACUUUAUAUAUAAUAAUAAAUAAUGCACACAUUUUAAGUGUACAAUUUGAUGAGUUCUGACAAAUUUAUAUGCAUGUAUAACCAGCAUCAAUAUCAAGAUAUAUAAUGAUCCCCUCAUUCCAGAAUAGUCUCUUGUGUUCUUUCCAGCCAAUGCCCCACCCCUGGAUUCUGGCAACAAUUGAUCUGCUUUUUAUUACCAUGGAUUAUAUUUGUCUUUCCUAGAGAUACAAAUAAAUGAAAUAAUGUAGUGUGUCCUCUUUAACUUUGGCUUAUUUCUCUCGGCACACUAUUUCUGAAAUUUGUCCAUACUGUUGAUAUGGCAGACAGAAUUUUAAGAUGGUUCCUAAAAUUCUUGCCUCCUGGUAUGUAUAAUUUUCUCUCGGUUUUCCGCUGAACACUAACCUAGGUGCUAUUGUAAAGGGAUUUCUCAAGUGUAAUUAAAGUCCCUAAUAAGUUUAUUUUAAGUUAGAAAAAUUUUCCCAGGUGAGCUUGAGCUAAGUGAGUGACCUAAGCAGGUGAGUUGUUAGAAAAAAAUUAAGAGAUAUUUGAAGCGUAGACAAAAUUCUGUUGGCUUUUAAAAGAAAACUUCCAUGUGAUAGAGAAAGCCAGAUGAUAGGGAACACAAGGUUACCUCUAAAUUGACAACCAGCAAAAAAGCUGAGACUUCAGUCUUAUCAUCAUAAGGAAUUGAAUUCUGUCAACAGCCACGUGACCUUAGAGGAGGCCCCUGAGCCGCAGAUGAGAUCAUGGCCCUGGCCAAUACCUUAAAUUCAUCCUGGUGAGAUAUGAGCAGAGAACUCAGCUAUGCCAUGCUCAGAUUUCUCACCUGUAGAGCAGUAAAUUAAUAAGUGAGCAUUAUUUGAAGCUGCUAAGUUUGUGGUGAUUUGUUACACAUCAAGAGAAAACAUAUGCUGUAUAUAUUAUUAGAUUUUUCCUUUAUAUUGGUGGGUGUAUUUGUUAUCUAUUACUUCCUAACAAAUCGACAAUAAUUAAGUGUCUUAAGACAACACAUAUUUAUUACCUCAUAGUUUCUGUGGGUCAGAAAUCUGGGCAUGGUUUAUGUGAGUUCUUUGAUUUAAAGUUGUUGGCAAAUCUGUAAACAAGGAAGCAGUCAGGACCGAGGUCUCAUCUGAAAGUCAACUUGGGAUGGGUCUGCUUCCAGCCUCACUUAACAUAACAGCUGGCAGGAUUCAGUUGCUCUUGGGUAGUUGGAUUGAUGGCCUCAGAUAACUAGGUAGCUAUUAGCUAGAUUUCACCCUCAGUUUGUUGCCGUGUGGGCCUCCCUAAGGUGGCAAUUUACUUCAUCAAAACCAGCAAGGGAGAGAGUUGGCUACAAUCUCUAGUAAUGUAGCUACAGAAAUGACAUCCCCUUAGCAAUGAGAUAUUUUAUUAAUUAGAAAGAAAUUACUCAACAGGAGGGGAUUACACAAUGUAGUGAAUACCAGGAGGCUGAGAUCAGAAGGAGCUAGUGUAGAAGCUGCCUACCACAGUGAGUAGUAUUCUAUUACAUGAAUAUACCAGAAUGUCUGAAUCCACCCAACUGGGCAUAGACGUUUGUGUUCAUUCAAGAUACAGACUAUUAUUAUUUUAAAAAUAAAAGUUACUAUGAACAUUUAAGUAUAAGCUUUUGUGUGGGCGUGUUUCAUUUGUUUUGAAUGAAAUUGCAGGGUCGCAUAGAAAAUGCAUAUUUAAUCUUAUAAGAAGCUGCUUAAAAUGCUUUGCAAUGUGAUUUUACCAUUUUACACUCCCAACAAUGUAUAGCAAUAUAUCAUAGAUCUAGUGGUUUCAUAUCUCCACAAACACUUGAUAUUGUCACUCAGUUUAAUUGUAGCUACUUAAAUAGGCUUAUAAUGGUACUCGUUAUGAUUUUAAUAUGCAUUUCCCUAAUGCCUAUUAGGGACUAAUUAUGUUAAGCAUCUUUUCAUGUAUUUGGAGGCCAUUUGUGUACCUUCAUUUGUAAAAUAUCUGUUUAAGUAGCUUGCCCAUUUGGAUUGCUUUACAUUUUAUUAUAGAGUCAUAAGCAUCCUUUAUAUAUUCUGAAUAUAACUCUUUUAUCAGACAUACAUAUAUAUCAAAUAUUUUUUUCUAAGUUUGUGGUUUGUGUUUUUACUUUUUAUACUGUUUAUUGAAUAGUAGAUUUUAUAUUCAUUUUAUCCAUUCUGUUAUGAUCGAUAUUUUUUGAACUAUGAAAAUAUUGCUAUGUAAAAAUAAAAAAUAUAUUUUCAUCCCGAGUUUCAUAAUUUUAGCUUUCACUCUUAUAUCUGUGAUUCAUUCUGAGUUUUCUUGUAUAGUUUAAAGUCAGAGUGGGUGUUUGUUUGCUUAUUAAUAUAUUUAUAGAUAUUUCUAAUUCUUUCUAGCACCAUUUAUUAAAAAGUCUCUUUUUUUACCCAUUGAAUUAUUUUUUUUAAAUUGUUAUGUCUAAAAUCAAAUUACCAAAUACACAUUGUCUAUUUUGAACUAUUUAUUCUGUUUCAUUGAUUUUUAUGUGUUCCUUUACACCAAUAUCAUUGUCUUAAUUACUGUAGAUUUGUUGGAAAUAUGGGAGUCAAAUUUAAGGAUUUCAAUUUUGUCCUUUUAUCAAGUUGUUUUGGCUGUUCUAGGUCCUUUGCAUUUCCCUAUAACAUUUGGAAUUAGGUUGUCAAUAUUUCCCCAGAAUAAAGCCUGCUGGGAUUUUGAACAGGAUUGCAUGGAAUCUAUAAAUCAAUUUAGUGAGAAUUAAUAACAUAUUAAGUACUCUAAUUGAUGAACAUAGUAUCAUCUUCCAUUUAUUUAGUCUUUGACUUCUCGGAAAUGUUUUAUAGUUUUCAGUGUGUAGGUCUUGAAGUUUGUAAAAUUCUAAGUGUUUUAUGGUUUUGACUGUAAUUGUAAAUACCUCCCAUUG